UGCUGAAUCCUACUCCCAACUAAAUCGACACUGAACUGAUCACUAGACUGUAAUAGGCUUGACUAAACUGACACUGAUCAUGUUGAUUGACUGAAAUGGAAUAAGUUUACUGAGUUCUAUUAACUGACUGAGUACUACUAAUCUUGACCUUUACUAGGACUAUUCUAUAACUACUGUAACUAAGUAAACAACUAGAUUUUAGGUAAUAAAUACCCCUAGGACUCGAUAACAUAAUU
This 236-nucleotide long non-coding RNA is filed under the name Capsicum annuum. RNAcentral's name for it is "long non-coding RNA (CANN_LNC011757)". The record is from RNAcentral. Lineage: Eukaryota; Viridiplantae; Streptophyta; Magnoliopsida; Solanales; Solanaceae.